CCUACGGGUGGCAGCAGUGGGGAAUAUUGGUCAAUGGACGAGAGUCUGAACCAGCCAAGUAGCGUGAAGGAUGACUGCCCUAUGGGUUUAAAACUUCUUUUAUAGGGGAAUAAGAUGUUUCUCGUAUGGGGUUGUGUAUUUACCAUAUGAGUAAGGAUAGGCUAACUCCGUGCCAGCAGCCGCGGUACUACGGAGGAUACGAGCGUUGUCCGGAUUUAUUGGGUUUAAAGGGCGCGUAGGUGGAUUGUUAAGUCAGAUGUGAAAGUUUGAGGCUCAACCGUGAAAUUGCAUUUGAUACUGGCAGUCUGGAGUACAGUAGAGGUAGGCGGAAUUCGUGGUGUAGCGGUGAAAUGCUUAGAUAUCACGAAGAACACCGAUUGCGAAGGCAGCUCACUGGGCUACAACUGACACUGAGGCUCGAAAGUGUGGGUAGCAAACAGGAUUAGAUACCCGGGUAGUC
RNAcentral lists this ribosomal RNA (460 nucleotides) under uncultured bacterium. RNAcentral describes it as "partial 16S ribosomal RNA". It matches the Rfam family "Bacterial small subunit ribosomal RNA", at positions 338 to 795 of the family's 1533-position model. The record is from RNAcentral.